AUGUCUCCACAGCAUCACUACACUUGGUGCCUGAGCCUGUCUCCACCACAGUUGUGGAGACAGGCUCAGGCACCAAGUGUAUUGAUGCUGUGGAGACAU
Molecule: non-coding RNA, 99 nt
Organism: Pelobates cultripes (western spadefoot toad)
Lineage: Eukaryota; Metazoa; Chordata; Amphibia; Anura; Pelobatidae
Source: the annotation of a GenBank genome assembly